This 492-nucleotide ribosomal RNA is filed under the name uncultured bacterium. Its description in RNAcentral is "partial 16S ribosomal RNA". It matches the Rfam family "Bacterial small subunit ribosomal RNA", at positions 29 to 507 of the family's 1533-position model. The record is from RNAcentral.
AGUGAACGCUGGCGGUAGGCCUAACACAUGCAAGUCGAACGGCAGCACAGUAAGAGCUUGCUCUUACGGGUGGCGAGUGGCGGACGGGUGAGGAAUACAUCGGAAUCUACUUUUUCGUGGGGGAUAACGUAGGGAAACUUACGCUAAUACCGCAUACGACCUACGGGUGAAAGCAGGGGAUCUUCGGACCUUGCGCGAUUGAAUGAGCCGAUGUCGGAUUAGCUAGUUGGCGGGGUAAAGGCCCACCAAGGCGACGAUCCGUAGCUGGUCUGAGAGGAUGAUCAGCCACACUGGAACUGAGACACGGUCCAGACUCCUACGGGAGGCAGCAGUGGGGAAUAUUAGACAAUGGGCGCGAGCCUGAUCCAGCCAUACCGCGUGGGUGAAGAAGGCCUUCGGGUUGUAAAGCCCUUUUGUUGGGAAAGAAAAGCAGCAGGUUAAUACCCCGCUGUUCUGACGGUAGCCAAAGAAUAAGCACCGGCUAACUUCGUG